Molecule: long non-coding RNA, 333 nt
Organism: Solea senegalensis (Senegalese sole)
Lineage: Eukaryota; Metazoa; Chordata; Actinopteri; Pleuronectiformes; Soleidae
Exons: 2
Source: RefSeq, a predicted model, not a curated record
UGGCGGCCAUGUGCAGGCAGCUGAGGCUGACGCACGACAGGUGCUUCGGCUGGAUCUGAGGGCACAGAUCUUCGCUAAGUCUUUAAAUAUUGGUUUAUGACACACUCGACAACCAGGAGGCGAUCGCUGACUAAACAGGAAACAGAAAAACUGGAAGAACUUGGUCGAGAAAACAGGACUGACAACAAAGAAGAAACGAGACGUUAUCGGAAUAGUCAGUAAUAUAUUGUAUGUAUUCAAUUUAACAAUGUUAUAUAUUAUUUUAAAUAAUGGCAAAAACCUGCCGGAAAUAUUGGUCACUUUUCCAAAUAUACCUCUGCUGUUAUAUCAACA